GUACCGAUGGCCGAGUGGUUCAGGCAUCCGUCUGGUAAACGGGGGACGCUGGUUCGAUUCCAGCUCGGAACA
This is a non-coding RNA of Leguminivora glycinivorella, 72 nucleotides long. Lineage: Eukaryota; Metazoa; Arthropoda; Insecta; Lepidoptera; Tortricidae. The record is from the annotation of a RefSeq genome assembly.